This is a long non-coding RNA of Numida meleagris (helmeted guineafowl), 518 nucleotides long. RefSeq lists it as uncharacterized. The record is from RefSeq and is a predicted model, not a curated record. NCBI's taxonomy places the organism in Eukaryota, Metazoa, Chordata, Aves, Galliformes, Numididae. The transcript has 3 exons.
AAGUAAAAUUUUCAGAUGACAUGAAGGCUUCAUUUAUGACCUGACUGCUGCGUAGCUUAGGCCUAGCGUGUUGCUCGCUUCCUUUUAAAUAGCACGGGUGUCUCCUUUCCUGAAGUCCUGAUGGUCUAACGUGUGUAACACUGUUUGAGUGCUCCUCCACUGCAGCGGAAUCCAGGUGCCGAUGUAGUCUAUGUGGUGACACUUCAGAGCUACCUUUAAAUCCUGCACAUCUUUUCCUAACAGGUUUUGUGCAACUCUUUGUUUCAGAUCAGUUAACGGAGGGCCGGCUCGGUCCCUCUACCGUGGUGCUGGACCACACGAGUGGUUUUGAGGGGCUCCUGCUGGUUGAUGAUGACUUACUUGGGGUGAUUGGCCACAGUAACUUUGGCUCUAUCAGGGCCACAACGUGUGUGUACAAAGGGAAAUGGAUUUAUGAGGUGCUUAUCUCCUCCCAGGGACUCAUGCAGAUUGGCUGGUGUACUCUCAACUGCAGAUUUAAUCAGGAGGUAGUGUAAAUC